AACGAACGCUGGCGGCAUGCCUAACACAUGCAAGUCGAACGAGACCUUCGGGUCUAGUGGCGCACGGGUGCGUAACGCGUGGGAACCUGCCCUUAGGUUCGGAAUAACUCCCCGAAAGGGGUGCUAAUACCGGAUAAUGUCUUCGGACCAAAGAUUUAUCGCCUUUGGAUGGGCCCGCGUUGGAUUAGCUAGUUGGUAGGGUAAAAGCCUACCAAGGCGACGAUCCAUAGCUGGUCUGAGAGGAUGAUCAGCCACACUGGGACUGAGACACGGCCCAGACUCCUACGGGAGGCAGCAGUGGGGAAUAUUGGACAAUGGGCGAAAGCCUGAUCCAGCAAUGCCGCGUGAGGGAUGAAGGCCUUAGGGUUGUAAAGCUCUUUUACCCGGGAUGAUAAUGACAGGACCGGGAGAAUAAGCUCCGGCUAACUCCGUG
This 433-nucleotide ribosomal RNA is filed under the name uncultured bacterium. Its description in RNAcentral is "partial 16S ribosomal RNA". It matches the Rfam family "Bacterial small subunit ribosomal RNA", at positions 29 to 507 of the family's 1533-position model. The record is from RNAcentral.